CACGUAGGGGGCGAGCGUUGUCCGGAUUUAUUGGGCGUAAAGAGCUCGUAGGCGGCUCAGUAAGUCGGGUGUGAAAACUCCAGGCUCAACCUGGAGACGCCACCUGAUACUGCUGUGGCUAGAGUCCGGUAGGGGAGCAUGGAAUUCCUGGUGUAGCGGUGAAAUGCGCAGAUAUCAGGAGGAACACCAAUGGCGAAGGCAGCUCGCUGGAACGGUACUGACGCUGAGGCGCGAAAGCGUGGGGAGCGAACAGG
Molecule: ribosomal RNA, 254 nt
Filed under: uncultured bacterium
Lineage: Bacteria
Description: partial 16S ribosomal RNA
Rfam family: Bacterial small subunit ribosomal RNA
Source: RNAcentral